GUGAAAUACGGGCUGUGAGUCGGGGGUAUACGUAGUGUGCAAAGGUUAUCCGGGAUGACUGGGCUGAAAGCGGAGUCAGGCGGGGCAUGAAGUCUGACGUGAAAGCUCCUGGAGUUACUGGGAGGGGUCGGUGGAGACUGAUGUGGUUAAGGCGGUGAGAGGGGUGUAGAAUUCCCGGUGUAGGGGUGGAAUGCGUAGAUAUCGGGAGGAAUACCAGAGGCGAAAGCGACACCCUGGCUCGAUACUGACGCUGAGGUGCGAAAGCGUGGGGAGCAAACAGGAUUAGAUACCCUAGUAGUC
This 300-nucleotide ribosomal RNA is filed under the name uncultured Desulfurococcus sp. RNAcentral's name for it is "bacterial SSU rRNA". It matches the Rfam family "Bacterial small subunit ribosomal RNA", at positions 496 to 795 of the family's 1533-position model. The record is from RNAcentral. Lineage: Archaea; Thermoproteati; Thermoproteota; Thermoprotei; Desulfurococcales; Desulfurococcaceae.